Long non-coding RNA from Anguilla rostrata (American eel), 2569 nucleotides. RefSeq lists it as uncharacterized. Lineage: Eukaryota; Metazoa; Chordata; Actinopteri; Anguilliformes; Anguillidae. The transcript is spliced from 2 exons. The record is from RefSeq and is a predicted model, not a curated record.
GUGGUUGCUAUGCAACUUUAGGAAACUCUCUUUUUUUCUGCCAAACUAGCUAGCCAACAAGCUAGCAUCAGUGAGCUAACAAGAGUUUAUGCCUUAUUGAUGUUAACUUGUAUGUUUCCAUUGAUUGCAACCGGUAGAAAACUGUCCAGCAUCAGUGGGAUCACGUUGGGUAGAUCUACUCAUUUUGUUAAGUGGAGGAGGCAAUUAAUGCUGCUCUAGCAGGAUGCUGCUCUACCUUCUCUGGUCCCAGCUGGUCCCAACUGAUCUCAACUGCCGGUCCCAACUGAUAUCCUAAAGGCUGAACCCACGUUUAGUACACAGGUUUCCGCGAGACUACAUUUGUACAUCAGGAUUUUAAAAAUUGAUUCCUUGUCCUGCUUCCUUUCAUCAGAGAAGAAGACCAUGACUAGAUUUCCUGUCUGAGUGACUUGCACAUCAGCAGAAUAAGCUACCGUCUGUUUUCAGUGUGUAUUAGUUGGCUUUUUACCCAGGUCUUCUCAAAAUAAAUUAAUAUUUCUUGAUCUAUUUUUUUCAGGCUCUGAGACAAUUCAUUUUGUGCACAUUUAUUUGUGUUUCCUGGUUUUCUUUCUGUGCUUACAAGAGGCCUGGUACCUGACAACCUGAGAAUGGCACAAUAUCUGUCCAGUUGCUCUAUGGCUACACAAGAAGCUACAUCUAAGUGGUCAAAUGUAAUUAAGAACAGUGUACAGAUUGCAACUGAACCCAUAAGAAAAUACCUGCUGAACACAGUCCAGGAACAUCUGAAUGAAGAUGGAACCGUCAGGAGAUACACAUUUGGAAAAAAGGACUCCCAAAAAAGGAAAUGGGCAAUCCUAAUCAUGGGAGAAACAGGAACAGGACAGUCUUCACUCAUCAAUAUGAUGGUCAACUACAUGCUGGGGGUAAAAUGGGAAGACAAGAUCAGGUUUGAAAUCAUUCCAGAUGAAGACCCCAAACUGUAUCUCAAACCAGUCUGAUUACUGCCUAUGAGAUUUAUCGGCUGGGGGAACUGCCUGUUCCUUUUUCACUCACAGUCAGUGAUAUUGGAUUUGGAGACACAGGUGGGCUUGAGAAUGAUCAAAGAGUUUCUCUGAAUCUCUACAAGUUAUUUAAUUCCAUAAGGGGCAUUCAACAAAUAGGUGCAGCUUGCCUUGUGCUGAAGGCAUCUCAGAAUCGCCUCAGUCCCAGCCAGAAGUACAUCUUUGAUGCCAUCCUGUCCCUCUUUGGGAAGAACAUGGAGAAAAACAUCCUGACUCUCAUCACCUUCUCUGACUGGAUGCCACCUUCAAAUGCUCUUGAGGCAGUUGCUGAGUCUAGCGUACCUUUCCCCAAAGAUGAAAAUGAUCAGCCUCUUCACUUCCUGUUCAACAACCUUUCUCUUAAGAAUUAUCAGAAGAAAUAUGAAAAAUCAUUAAAAUUGCACUGGGUUAAUGGAAUUGAGAGAGAGAGACUCUUAAGCUCAACAGAACAAUGUGACGGGAAUUAUUAUUUUUGAAUUGUCUGGAAGUGGAUCUUUAUUUGCUCGCUGGUAUGUUUUAUCAUUUGAACAAAUAUCCACGAAUAGAAGUUAUUUUGUGCUCUGUCUCACGUGAGUUGAUUUUCUGACUAUUAUAAAGUUCUUUAGUGUUACUUGACUUUGACUUUUUAGUUUUCCUGUACAAAAUGGCCAAAUAGACCGAAGCUGUGAAUCCCAAUUCUCUGAAGUACUGCUUUGUGCAUGAACCAGCCAAUCUUCCCAGCGACGAAAACACCUUGAUCAUAAUAUGAAGCCCUGGUCAGUAGCAAUAUGGAAGGAGGAAACACUUGAUUUUUUCUGGUGAAUUCUGGUGGAGAGAGGGAUCGGUAAGUCUGCAGCCGCUCUUCACUCGACUGUGUAUAUUACAGAUAAAUCACAUUCCUUUUCCUGUUUACAAUGGCAUGUCAAGUACACAAACUGCAGUGAAGCAUCAGUUGGAGCCUGGCUGCCAAGUACAGUUCAGGCCAAAUUUUUACAUACACCGAGGCUGAAGACAUUCAGACUCAAUUUUUCACAACUCCACACAUUUCAAGUCAAGUAGGGUAUCUACUUUAUUUCCAUAAGAGGUAAUUUCAAAAUAAUAGCUAAGAGACAGAUUUAUUUCAGCUUUUAUGUACUAUAUCAGAUUUUCAGUGGGUAAAAAGUUUACAUGCACUUUGUUAGUAUUUUGUGGAAUUGCCUUUUAAUUGCUUAACUUGAAUCAAAUGCUUGGGGUAGCCUUCCACAAGCUUCUCACAAUACUUUGCCGGAAUUUUUGCCCAUUCCUCCUGGCAGAACUGGUGUAAUUCAGUCAAGUUUGUGGGCCUCCUUGCUUGGACACACUUUUUCAGUCCAGUCUACAAAUUUUCUAUGGGAUUCAGGUCAGGGCUUUGUGAUGGCCACUUCAAUACUUUCACUUUCACAGCAUUGUCCUGCUGGAAGACCCAGUUGCAACCAAGUUCUAACUUUCUAGCUGAUGUCUUGAGGUGUUGCUUCAGUAUUUCUAGAUAAUCCUCAUAUUUUCUGAAGUGCACCAAUCUUUUUUUCCAGCAAAACACCCCCACAACAUGAUGC